This 75-nucleotide transfer RNA is filed under the name Amycolatopsis vancoresmycina DSM 44592. Its description in RNAcentral is "tRNA-Glu". It matches the Rfam family "tRNA". From Rfam's summary of the family: Transfer RNA (tRNA) molecules are approximately 80 nucleotides in length. Their secondary structure includes four short double-helical elements and three loops (D, anti-codon, and T loops). The record is from RNAcentral. Lineage: Bacteria; Bacillati; Actinomycetota; Actinomycetes; Pseudonocardiales; Pseudonocardiaceae.
GGCGCGUUGGUCCAGCGGUACGGAUCCCCGGUUCUCACCCGGGAGACCCGGGUUCGACUCCCGGACGCGCUACCG